UCCUCCCUCUGGCGGCGUGCUUAACACAUGCAAGUCGAACGGAAAGGCCUGCUUUCCCUUGUGGAUUGCGGGUACUCGAGUGGCGAACGGGUGAGUAACACGUGAGUGAUCUGCCCCCAACUUGGGUAUAAGCCUGGGAAACUGGGUCUAAUUCCCGAUAGGACUGCAGGGUGGUGCCUGUUGUGGAAAACGAUUUUCUAGUGGUUGGGGAUGAGCUCGCGGCCUAUCAGCUUGUUGGUGGGGUAAUGUCCUACCAAGGCGGCGACGGGUAGCCGGCCUGAGAGGGUGGACGGCCACAUUGGGACUGAGAUACGGCCCAGACUCCGACGGGAGGCAGCAGUGGGGAAUAUUGCACAAUGGGCGGAAGCCUGAUGCAGCGACGCCGCGUGGGGGAUGACGGCCUUCGGGUUGUAAACUCCUUUCGACCGCGAGGAAGCCACCUGGUUGGAAGGGUGGUGACGGUAGUGGGAGAAGAAGCACCGGCUAACUACGUG
Molecule: ribosomal RNA, 494 nt
Filed under: uncultured bacterium
Lineage: Bacteria
Description: partial 16S ribosomal RNA
Rfam family: Bacterial small subunit ribosomal RNA
Source: RNAcentral